Molecule: ribosomal RNA, 253 nt
Filed under: uncultured bacterium
Lineage: Bacteria
Description: partial 16S ribosomal RNA
Rfam family: Bacterial small subunit ribosomal RNA
Source: RNAcentral
UACGUAGGGUGCAAGCGUUGUCCGGAAUUAUUGGGCGUAAGGAGCUCGUAGGCGGCUUGUCGCGUCGGCUGUGAAAACCUGGGGCUCAACCCCGGGCCUGCAGCCGAUACGGGCAAGCUAGAAUUCGGUAGGGGAGACUGGAAUUCCUGGUGUAGCGGUGAAAUGCGCAGAUAUCAGGAGGAACACCGGUGGCGAAGGCGGGUCUCUGGGCCGAUAUUGACGCUGAGGAGCGAAAGCGUGGGGAGCGAACAGG